Molecule: long non-coding RNA, 662 nt
Organism: Apis florea (little honeybee)
Lineage: Eukaryota; Metazoa; Arthropoda; Insecta; Hymenoptera; Apidae
Source: RefSeq, a predicted model, not a curated record
UAUAAUAAUUUUCCACAUGAUAGCUCUAUUCACAUAUUUAUCUUCGAUUUCCUUCAGACGAAGGAAGAGAAAAAGGAGAAGGGGAAAAAGCAGCAACGGUUGUCGGUGUAGAUGUCUAUCGAUCGCUGAUAAUCUACGAUCGAGACAUCUGAUGGCAGCAAGUUAUGUAAUGGGACGACAAGCAGGAAAUAAAAUCGACUUGUAAUGUCAUGACGCAUCUUGCGGCGAAGCCAAAGUCACGCACAAUGCACGAAACGACAGAUAAUACUAGAAGAAAUCAGAAUUGAAGAGAUUGAAAUAUACAAUGUGCGAACGUGUGUGAUACUUUUGAAACUGGAUUUCUCAAUGCUAUGAAGUUGACGAAUGUGCUAAGAUCACUCAGGUGACUGGCAAAUUGUUCGCCAAUAUUCUCAGCGGUGGUCCACGCUUAUCACAAUUUCAAUCGAUAGAUUCUGAUCUUGAACGAAGACUUCGCCACGCCUUUUGUAAAAUAAUAGAUUUCUAGCUGAUUCUGAUUCAGACUUCGAUAUAGUUUGCGAUUAAACGAUUUAUUGCGAUUUGUGUAUUCCUGCUUAGUGGCUCAAUAUGUGUCAAUCACGAAUAGUGUUUAUGUAAUUACAUAUAUGUGUAUAGAUAUAUAUGAAUAUAUUGGAAUAUUUAGA